Molecule: ribosomal RNA, 466 nt
Filed under: uncultured bacterium
Lineage: Bacteria
Description: partial 16S ribosomal RNA
Rfam family: Bacterial small subunit ribosomal RNA
Source: RNAcentral
GACGAACGCUGGCGGCGUGCUUAACACAUGCAAGUCGUGCGGUAAGGCCCUUUCGGGGGUACACGAGCGGCGAACGGGUGAGUAACACGUGAGCAACCUGCCCUUCACUUUGGGAUAACUGCCGGAAACGGUGGCUAAUACCGGAUAUGACUUCCUCACGCAUGUGGGGUGGUGGAAAGCCUUCGGGUGGUGGGGGAUGGGCUCGCGGUCUAUCAGCUUGUUGGUGGGGUGAUGGCCUACCAAGGCUUCGACGGGUAGCCGGCCUGAGAGGGUGACCGGCCACACUGGGACUGAGACACGGCCCAGACUGCUACGGGAGGCAGCAGUGGGGAAUAUUAGACAAUGAGCGAAAGCCUGAUCCAGCAACGCCGCGUGAGGGAUGACGGCCUUCGGGUUGUAAACCUCUUUCGCCUGCGACGAAGCGAGAGUGACGGUAGCAGGUAAAGAAGCACCGGCCAACUACGUG